Molecule: ribosomal RNA, 596 nt
Filed under: uncultured bacterium
Lineage: Bacteria
Description: bacterial SSU rRNA
Rfam family: Bacterial small subunit ribosomal RNA
Source: RNAcentral
GCGAACGGGUGAGUAAUACAUCGGAACGUACCCAGUAGUGGGGGAUAGCUCGGCGAAAGCCGGGAUUAAUACCGCAUACGACCUAUGGGUGGAAGCGGGGGAUCGCAAGACCUCGCGCUAUUGGAGCGGCCGAUGUCGGAUUAGCUAGUUGGUGAGGUAAAGGCUCACCAAGGCUACGAUCCGUAGCUGGUCUGAGAGGACGACCAGCCACACUGGGACUGAGACACGGCCCAGACUCCUACGGGAGGCAGCAGUGGGGAAUUUUGGACAAUGGGCGAAAGCCUGAUCCAGCCAUGCCGCGUGUGUGAAGAAGGCCUUCGGGUUGUAAAGCACUUUUGUCCGGAACGGAAACGCCAAGGGCGAAUACUCCUUGGUAAUGACGGUACCGGAAGAAUAAGCACCGGCUAACUACGUGCAGCAGCCGCGGUAAUACGUAGGGUGCAAGCGUUAAUCGGAAUUACUGGGCGUAAAGCGUGCGCAGGCGGUUCCGCAAGUCAGAUGUGCAAAUCCCCGGGCUUACCUGGAACUGCAUUGGAAACUACGGGGCUAGAGUGUGUCCAGAGGGGGGUGGAAUUCCACGUUGUAGCAGUGAAUGC